Long non-coding RNA from Anguilla anguilla (European eel), 763 nucleotides. RefSeq lists it as uncharacterized. NCBI's taxonomy places the organism in Eukaryota, Metazoa, Chordata, Actinopteri, Anguilliformes, Anguillidae. The transcript has 4 exons. The record is from RefSeq and is a predicted model, not a curated record.
UUCAAUUUUUAUUCGGCUCGUGUUCCACACCAUCAAGCCUGUCCCCAGUGAGAGCAAGAUUCUCACUAUGGCCCACACUCUCUUGGAUGCUCGACUAUGGCGGGUGAAUGCUCCAGUGAGAGUGCGACGCAGUAUAACGCAGUUGAAUGAUCCUGUUGCUGUGCAGGAUAUUACUUAUCAGAUACUAUCCAACAGUUCCUUUGCCUUGGCACUGCGAUAUCAGAUAAACAACGUGAGCAUGCCAGAACUCACUGAACUCAGGACCGAGACGUACAAACUCAUCCAGGACUCCAUUAACAACCUGCUGAACCAAAUUCUGACACAACCUGAUGCAAAUCCUUCCAUCUUUCCACAAGCAAGUUUUACGGAUACGGCAAACCAGAUUCAAGCCAUUGUGGAAUAUGUCUACCAGGAAGGUGACAUCCAAGACCCAAGUGAAUUCUUGACUGCAGUACUGACAGCAAUUGGGUGGCUUACUACAACUACUACGCCGAUAACUGAACCACCAAUCACAACAGUUACCCAAACAACAAUACCACCUACUGUGGAAUCUACGAAUAUCAUUCUAACAACAAAAACCAUUCGAUCUACAACAGCAGUUCAUACCACAUUAGGUACUUCAGCUACAACAAAAGGUUUUACCACAACAAGGCUUCCCACAUCGAGACCUGAAGCUCAAACGACUGCAACCAAACCGACUGCCAGCAUAGCUUCUCAAACAACAAUACCACCUACAACAAUGGGGACGGAAUCUCCAACUAUU